GUGGGGAAUAUUGGACAAUGGGCGAAAGCCUGAUCCAGCAAUGCCGCGUGAGUGAUGAAGGCCCUAGGGUUGUAAAGCUCUUUUACCCGGGAUGAUAAUGACAGUACCGGGAGAAUAAGCUCCGGCUAACUCCGUGCCAGCAGCCGCGGUAAUACGGAGGGAGCUAGCGUUGUUCGGAAUUACUGGGCGUAAAGCGCGCGUAGGCGGUUUUCCCAGUCAGGGGUGAAAGCCCGGGGCUCAACCCCGGAAUAGCCCUUGAAACUGGAAGACUAGAAUCUUGGAGAGGUCAGUGGAAUUCCGAGUGUAGAGGUGAAAUUCGUAGAUAUUCGGAAGAACACCAGUGGCGAAGGCGACUGACUGGACAAGUAUUGACGCUGAGGUGCGAAAGCGUGGGGAGCAAACAGGAUUAGAAACCCUGGUAGUCC
RNAcentral lists this ribosomal RNA (425 nucleotides) under uncultured bacterium. Its description in RNAcentral is "partial 16S ribosomal RNA". It matches the Rfam family "Bacterial small subunit ribosomal RNA", at positions 354 to 796 of the family's 1533-position model. The record is from RNAcentral.